RNAcentral lists this long non-coding RNA (1476 nucleotides) under Oncorhynchus mykiss (rainbow trout). RNAcentral's name for it is "lncRNA (ENSOMYG00000073099.1)". The record is from RNAcentral. Lineage: Eukaryota; Metazoa; Chordata; Actinopteri; Salmoniformes; Salmonidae.
AGAGGAACCAUCAGGAUAAACACAGUAGGGACACAGUCAGGGGACAGAGAGACAGGAGGAACCAUCAGGAUAAACACAGUCAAGGGACAGACAGACAGGAGGAACCAUCAGGUCAGGGGACAGAGAGACACUAGGAACCAACAGGUCAGGGGACAGAGAGACAGGAGGAACCAUCAGGUCAGGGGACAGAGAGACAGGAGGAACCAUCAGGUCAGGGGACAGAGAGACAGGAGGAACCAUCAGGUUAGGGGACAGAGAGACAGGAGGAACCAUCAGGUUAGGGGACAGAGAGACAGGAGGAACCAUCAGGUCAGGGGACAGAGAGACAGGAGGAACCAUCAGAUCAUGGGACAGAGAGACACUAGGAACCAUCAGGUCAGGGGACAGGAAACCAUUGUAUAUCUGUUUACAGUAGGUUCCUUCCAUGUAAUCUGUUGUUAUUGUCUCCGAUGCCAUUCUCUAUGUAAACAACUUCAUGAGGUGUGCUUGAUGUGUUUGUUUUCUCACAGAUUCUGGGCCCCAUCGGUGUCAACUAAACAGAGUCAAAUGAUUUGUUUCACUGAUGUUCUGAUUAUGCACCUGCUGUGGGUUCAUUUAGAACUUGGCAUUUGAUUUGAUUUGAUUUCAUAGUCACCCUUCAAGUAAAGGUCAUUGUCUGACUGAAAACAUGAACAAACAAAAGACAGAGAGAGAGACAGACAGACAGUGAGAGAGAGAGAGAGAGAGAGACAGAGAGAGAGAGAGAGAGAGAGAGAGAGAGAGAGAGACAGAGAGAGAGAGAGAGAGAGAGAGAGAGAGACAGACAGAGAGCGACAGAGAGACCGACAGAGAGAGACAGAGAGAGAGAGACAGAGAGAGAGAGAGAGAGAGAGAGAGAGAGAGAGAGAGAGAGAGAGAGAGAGAGAGAGAGAGAGAGACAGACAGAGAGCGACAGAGAGACCGACAGAGAGAGACAGAGAGAGAGAGAGAGAGAGAGAGAGAGACAGAGAGAGAGAGAGAGAGAGAGAGAGAGACAGAGAGAGAGACAGAGACACUCAUGUUUAUUCAUCACUCCCUCCAAACACUUUUUUGAGUCUGUUUGAAGGACACAGCCUUCAAGGUACAUUUGCCUUCAAGGCAUUUCUCUCCUCUUUAAUUCUAGUCCCACAACAUUGGCUACCAACCAACUUCAAGUUUUCUCUCAUCCCAAACUUCACAUCCAUCCACAACACAUUGUUCAAAGCCCCAGUGUAACGCAGGAGAUAAAGUCAAUGUUGGACUUGGUGAAGCUACAUCUGGGAGGGCGUACGAACGGCGAACACUAAAUCCUACAGAGAAGUUAACUCUGGCUGGGAUGCUGUGUUGUGGUCAUCUGGGAAGCAUAUCAAAGGAAACGUUGCCUGCGAGGCAGAUCAGCCUCAGGCACAAAAAUGAUUUACAAAAAAAAAAGAGAAAACAAUUGAUUUAAAAUGAUGAUGUGUACUCAGACUACCCACA